UCGCUUGUUCCUAGUCAACCAUCAUCGUGCCAGUGAAAUCAUGGCCUAAACAUCACUAAGAAUAAAGAAAGAUCUCUUUAGCAACCUUCCUUCCAAUUUCUCUUGGGUUAUAUGUUGGGAUUUCAAUGAAGUAUUGCCAAUGUCUUACCUAAGGCCAAGGAGGCCCAACUUUAGAGUCAGUACAUCCAAACUCACUCAGAGGUGGGUGUAGCCGAACCCCAGACCUAGGCUACCUUGGAUGAGGAAGAUCCCAAAGACACGCAGGCCCAACUUAAGGAGUUAUACUUUUAAGCUGAUGGAGAAAGAAAGAGUCGAAGAUCGGACC
This 325-nucleotide long non-coding RNA is filed under the name Elaeis guineensis (African oil palm). RNAcentral's name for it is "long non-coding RNA (EGUI_LNC033575)". The record is from RNAcentral. Lineage: Eukaryota; Viridiplantae; Streptophyta; Magnoliopsida; Arecales; Arecaceae.